RNAcentral lists this ribosomal RNA (429 nucleotides) under Pseudomonadota bacterium. RNAcentral's name for it is "Proteobacteria bacterium partial 16S ribosomal RNA". It matches the Rfam family "Bacterial small subunit ribosomal RNA", at positions 355 to 776 of the family's 1533-position model. Lineage: Bacteria; Pseudomonadati; Pseudomonadota. The record is from RNAcentral.
UGGGGAAUAUUGGACAAUGGGCGAAAGCCUGAUCCAGCCAUGCCGCGUGUGUGAAGAAGGCCUUCGGAUUGUAAAGCACUUUAAGUUGGGAGGAAGGGCAGUAAGCGAAUACCUUGCUGUUUUGACGUUACCGACAGAAUAAGCACCGGCUAACUCUGUGCCAGCAGCCGCGGUAAUACAGAGGGUGCAAGCGUUAAUCGGAAUUACUGGGCGUAAAGCGCGCGUAGGUGGUUCGUUAAGUUGAAUGUGAAAGCCCCGGGCUCAACCUGGGAACUGCAUCCAAAACUGGCGAGCUAGAGUAUGGCAGAGGGUGGUGGAAUUUCCUGUGUAGCGGUGAAAUGCGUAGAUAUAGGAAGGAACACCAGUGGCGAAGGCGACCACCUGGGCUCAUACUGACACUGGGGUGCGAAAGCGUGGGGAGCAAACAGG